RNAcentral lists this ribosomal RNA (1461 nucleotides) under uncultured bacterium. Its description in RNAcentral is "16S ribosomal RNA". It matches the Rfam family "Bacterial small subunit ribosomal RNA". The record is from RNAcentral.
UGAACGCUGGCGGCAGGCCUAACACAUGCAAGUCGAGCGGUAACACAGAGAGCUUGCUCUCGGGUGACGAGCGGCGGACGGGUGAGUAAUGUCUGGGAAACUGCCUGAUGGAGGGGGAUAACUACUGGAAACGGUAGCUAAUACCGCAUAACGUCGCAAGACCAAAGUGGGGGACCUUCGGGCCUCAUGCCAUCAGAUGUGCCCAGAUGGGAUUAGCUAGUAGGUGGGGUAACGGCUCACCUAGGCGACGAUCCCUAGCUGGUCUGAGAGGACGACCAGCCACACUGGAACUGAGACACGGUCCAGACUCCUACGGGAGGCAGCAGUGGGGAAUAUUGCACAAUGGGCGCAAGCCUGAUGCAGCCAUGCCGCGUGUGUGAAGAAGGCCUUCGGGUUGUAAAGCACUUUCAGCGGGGAGGAAGGCGUUAAGGUUAAUAACCUUGGCGAUUGACGUUACCCGCAGAAGAAGCACCGGCUAACUCCGUGCCAGCAGCCGCGGUAAUACGGAGGGUGCAAGCGUUAAUCGGAAUUACUGGGCGUAAAGCGCACGCAGGCGGUCUGUCAAGUCGGAUGUGAAAUCCCCGGGCUCAACCUGGGAACUGCAUUCGAAACUGGCAGGCUAGAGUCUUGUAGAGGGGGGUAGAAUUCCAGGUGUAGCGGUGAAAUGCGUAGAGAUCUGGAGGAAUACCGGUGGCGAAAGCGGCCCCCUGGACAAAGACUGACGCUCAGGUGCGAAAGCGUGGGGAGCAAACAGGAUUAGAUACCCUGGUAGUCCACGCCGUAAACGAUGUCGAUUUGGAGGUUGUGCCCUUGAGGCGUGGCUUCCGGAGCUAACGCGUUAAAUCGACCGCCUGGGGAGUACGGCCGCAAGGUUAAAACUCAAAUGAAUUGACGGGGGCCCGCACAAGCGGUGGAGCAUGUGGUUUAAUUCGAUGCAACGCGAAGAACCUUACCUGGUCUUGACAUCCACAGAACUUUCCAGAGAUGGAUUGGUGCCUUCGGGAACUGUGAGACAGGUGCUGCAUGGCUGUCGUCAGCUCGUGUUGUGAAAUGUUGGGUUAAGUCCCGCAACGAGCGCAACCCUUAUCCUUUGUUGCCAGCGGUUAGGCCGGGAACUCAAAGGAGACUGCCAGUGAUAAACUGGAGGAAGGUGGGGAUGACGUCAAGUCAUCAUGGCCCUUACGACCAGGGCUACACACGUGCUACAAUGGCAUAUACAAAGAGAAGCGACCUCGCGAGAGCAAGCGGACCUCAUAAAGUAUGUCGUAGUCCGGAUUGGAGUCUGCAACUCGACUCCAUGAAGUCGGAAUCGCUAGUAAUCGUAGAUCAGAAUGCUACGGUGAAUACGUUCCCGGGCCUUGUACACACCGCCCGUCACACCAUGGGAGUGGGUUGCAAAAGAAGUAGGUAGCUUAACCUUCGGGAGGGCGCUUACCACUUUGUGAUUCAUGACUGGGGUGA